Molecule: non-coding RNA, 7637 nt
Organism: Callithrix jacchus (white-tufted-ear marmoset)
Lineage: Eukaryota; Metazoa; Chordata; Mammalia; Primates; Cebidae
Source: RefSeq, a predicted model, not a curated record
AUGGCGCUCCUCCGCGCCGGGGCCGCCCCGCUCCCUUCCCGCCCCUCCGGCCGCCGCCUCCCGCGUUCGCGCCUCGGCCCGCGGCCUGGCCCUGCAGCCGGUGCGCGGCGGGGUCCGUGCGCCCCCGGGGAGCCUGUCCUUGCGGUCCCGCUCUUCCCGCUGCUGUCCAGGGUCACCGAGGCCGCGGGACCCCGUCGCCUCCACCCGGGCCCUGAAUUUACCGUCCGAGAGCCGGCCGCACUCGGGGCCCCGGGAGAAGCGCGCUCGCCCCGACGCGCGCUGCGGAGCUGUGGCCUGGAGGAAGCCUGGCAGGUGUCACCAGAGCUUUGGAGACAUGGGGCUCUGCCGGGGAAGCCCAGUGGGAGUCAUGAAGGAGGGAACAUGUGUGGAGCCCUUGUAGGGGGGACAGUGUGGUUGGCGGGGUGCACAGGCAGGGACCUCGCUGGGCUUUCCUGUCCACUGGGCAUGGACCAGCAGCCCAGGAGGAGGCAGCAAGUGGCCGGGCACAGGGAUGUGCCAACCCCUGCCCCCAGGGGAGCUGGGGACAGGGGGGUCGCAGACACUCUAUUCUCAGGUUGUGAUUUACUGGGGGGUCGUGGGUAAAAUGGAGAGGCUUUUGGGGAGAAAUUCCUGGCUCUGUGGUGCACUUGCAGAGCUCAAGAGGCAGCCACGUGGUGGAAGGUGCAAGGAACAUCAAUAAGGCUUUGGGCCCUGUAGGUGGGGCUGCCAUGAGCAGCAAGCUCAGUCCAGAAGAGCAGUUCCUCUCCAGCAUCCACUUCCUGCUUAUACGUUGAAAGUAGCUGGAGCAGAGCACCUGGAAUUCCACAGGCAGCUAAAAGCUCUGGAGAGCAAUGCAGGCCAGCCAGGGAUCCAGCGUCUCCCCCAGGAUCACGCUCCACAGCCUACCCCCCGCACUGCUCGUUAGUGCAUUAUCAUGUCUACUUGGCCCCAGCCCCGUCCCAAUGGCUUGGCUUGUUCCAAGCACUGCAUUCUCCAGCUGCGGUUUUGGCUACAGUGCUGUCUGCUCCCCACGUUGGGCAACUCCAGCCGAGAUUCCUACACUCACAUGUGACUGUGUUGCCCAAGGAGAAACCUCAGCUUUGGGUGUGCCAAGCCAUGUGCACAGCUCGUCCCAACCCCCACAGGCCCACCUGCCUCUCCCACCUCCCGUCCUCCCCUGUGAUGAGCAGAUGCCCACCACCCUCUAGGGUUUGGCCGAGCAUGUGCCUGCCCUCUGGCCAUGGUUGAGCCUGCCAUGUACCUGCACACAGGAGGGGCUCCUGGUGUUUGCCCUACACAAUGGGCUGUCUGGGAGCUGCUCAAGAGUUACCUUGGUGAGGAUGCCAGAGGCCUGGAUUCCCCCAGCCAGCCUCAGUUUCCACGUGAGUCGUUUUGCCCAUCACAUGAGACAACUUAGUGUUGGGGUAAAACUCAGCCCACCCUAAGGAAGCAUUGGCGUUUUGGAUGGAUGAAUGCUGCUUCAUGUGACUCCAUUUCAAUGGACUCUAUUUAUUCAACGAAGAUAUUUCUGUGAGUCUCCUCUGUUCCAGCCACGUGUGAAAGAAAAACGCCAAGUUGCUUGACACUGGGACAAACCAGGAAGUUCACUGCGUCUGGUUCCUCCUCCUCUGCCAACUCUCCUAGGCCACCGUUCCGAUUCCUGGCACAGAGUGGGGGACAAGCUCCUCAGUACCCAGAGCUUCCGGCGUGUAGCCAAAGGCCUCCAGUUCAGUGCCACGCUCAAGACGAGGGCCACCCUAUUCACAUACCUCAAAUACAGAAAGUGCCUGGAAAUGUUGAUAAGGUAUUAAAGGAAACCACUGGGUUGUCAGUCAUGUACACACAGGAAGAAAAAAAACAGUCGUCUUUUUUUUUUAAGACAGAGUUUCGCUCUUGUUGCCCGGGCUGGAGUACAGUGGCGUCAUCCCAGCUCACCGCGACCUCCGCCUCCUGGGUUCAAGCAAUGCUCCUGUCUCAGCCUCUCUAGUAGCUGGGAUUGCAGGUGCCCGUCACCACACCCCCCUAAUUUUUUGUAUUUUUAGUAGAGACAGGGUUUCACCAUCUUGGCCAGGCUGGUCUUGAACUCCUGACCUCAGGUAAUUCACCCACCUUGGCCCCCCCACAGUGCUGGGAUUGCAGGUGUGAGCCAUUGCGCCCAGCCAAAAAAAAAAAUUUUUCAUACUAAAAUGAUGAACAAGUAAACUUGAAACAAAAAUGGACAAAUACCUAAAAUAUUUUUAAAUGUAUUUAUUUUAAUUGGCACAUAAUAAUUGUAUACAUUGAUUGUUUACAAUUUGUUUUAACUUAUGUAUACAUUGUGAACUGGCUAAAUCAAGUUAAUUAGCAUGCAUUCACUCACAUACUUGUUUUUUGGGAUGGUGAGAACACUUAAAAUCUACUCUUAGCAAUUUCCAAGCACAAGAUAUGUUGUUCUUAACUAUAGUCACCAUGUUAUUAGCUAAAGUCACCAAGUCCCACUAUAGCUCCCUUGAUCGUAUUCCUCCAUGUAGCUGAAAUGUAUCCCUUGACCAGCAUCUCCACCCAGCCCCAGCCCCGGCCCCAGAUAACCACCAUUCUACCCUCUGCUUCCGUGAGUCAACUUUUGUGGAUCCCACCUGUAAGUGAGAUCAUGCAGUGUUUGUCUUUCUGUGCCUGGCUUUUUCACUUAAUGCCCCUCUGGUUCAUCCAUAUUGUCAUACGUGGCAGAAUUGUCCUCCUUGUUAAGGCUGACCGCUGAGCCAUCGCGUAUACACACCACAUCUUCUACCCAAAAUAUGUUUUAGUACAGUGGCUGAAACCUGCCACGUAACCUGUUUAAGUGCCACAGGCUUGCUUUUCAGCCACAAGAUGGGAGGACAAAUCACAUCUGCCCUGCAGGGGGAUUGCGAGCUGUGAAGCGCCACGAAGCCCAGGGGAGCCGAGAACUGAAGCCGACAGACCUGCCUUGUUACUUAAGCCCUCCAGGGCCGAGUUUCAUCAGUGAUGCAAAAGAACGCCUGUCUCGUGGGAUUGCAAAACGAUACAGAGGAUGUCUUCAUCCGUUCCGUGCUGCUGUAACAGGCUCCUACAGACUGGGUCACUUAGAGUGUGGAGAAACUUGCUGGCUUACGGUUCAGGAGGCUGGGAGGUCCAGCGUCAGGGGUCAGGGCCUUCCUGUGGCGUCAUCACGUCGCAGAAUAGCAGAAGGGCAAAGAGGAAGGAUGAUUGAGCAAGAGAGAGAAACAGAAGGGGCUGAACCCUCCCUUUUAUAACAUGCCCACCAGCCCAUUCAGGAGGGCAAAGGCCUCGGGGCCUAAUCACCUCUCGAAGGUCCCACCUAUUAAUAUCGUCACAAUGACAAUCAAACUUCUACAUGAAUUUUGGAGAGGACAGUCAUUCAAGCCAGAGCAGAGGGGGAUGGCAAGUGUUCUGAAGACAAGCCUAGAAAUUCAUCUUAGAAAUAGUGCAAAAGCAGAUUUCCACUUCUGUCUUUCCCUGUGGUGCUAAGACCCCAAAAGCCUCCCAGGACAGAGCUUGUGAACACAACACAGAAACAACAAACUUUUAAUGCAGAGCUGAGCUCACAAGGAGGUCAGGGACGUGCCGGGAGCCAGAGACAAACUGAAAACCGGGUCCUGAAGUGUGAGAGCCUGAGGGCAGCUGCCCAGCAGAGUGUUGGUCUGGAGCCUCAGGGUCUACGUCUUGACAUUCACAUGGGAAAGGAGAUGAGGCCUCCCUGGACCCACAUGAAGCAGGAACUGGAACAAGGGCACUCAAAGGGCUACACCUUCAGGAGAGAUGUGAACGAGUAGCUGUGUGCCCACAGGAACAGGAGACGAUACGAUGGUUCCAUGUUGGCUUGCCUGUUGUGGUUCUGUGAGACAGAAAGUUCUGUUGACAAUUGAUAAUCAGGGCUCACAGCCUCGUUAGACGUCAGGUAUUGAUUUUUUCUUUUUUCUUUUUUUUUUUUUUUAGAUGGAGUCUAGCUCUGUUGCCAGGCUGGAGUGCAGUGGUGUGAGCUUGGCUCACUGCAACCUCUGUCUCCCAGGUUCAAGUAGUUCUCCCAUCUCAGCCUCCCAAAUAGCUGGGAACUACAGGCACAAACCACCACACCCAGCGAAUUUUUGUAUUUUUUGGUAGGGACUGAGUUUCACCAUGUUGUGCAGGAUGGUCUCAAUCUCUUGAUCUGCCUGCCUUAGCCUCCCAGAGUGCUAGGAUUACAGGCGUGAGCCACCGCGCCCAGACUGAAUUUUUCUUUUUUGAGGCACGGUCUAGCUGUGUUGCCCAGGCUGGUCUUGAACUCCUGGGCUCAAGCAAUUCUCCUGCCUUGGCUUCCCAAAGUGCUGGGAUUACAGGCAUGAGCUACCAUGCCCAGCCUAGGUAUUGAGUUUUCACAGGUUUCACAGUCCAGACCCUACCACCCCUGCAGCAAAUAACUUGAUAUAAAACCUGAGCUCAGGCCAGUAAUACCCUUAAAGCCCAUGACAGAAGCAGGCACAGUGAUAGAAGUAAAAUCACAUAGACAUUCUCAAUCUAGCCCCCUCCAACUCCUACCCAUAAAGCCCACUGAAGAUGAGUUUACAAUCAUAAAGAACGAAACACGCAAAGAAAGAGCCACAGGAGGGAAGUCAGCAGAUGUGUGAACAGCAGGAAUGGACUCCUCCGCCAAAGGCCUUCCGAAGGUAAACUGAGCAAAUAAGAGAACAUUAAUUACGCAUGUUUUCAUGGUUAAGCAUUACAGGAAUAAAAGAAGGAAACGAACAAGAAUACGAUUCCAAGGGAGUUGGGGAAGAAUAGGCAGUUUUGAAGAACUCAAUGGAAUACCUAGAACCCAAAACUGUGCUGCUAAAAUUAACUCAAUGGAUGAGUUAAAAAGCAAUUUAGACCUAGCUGAAAACUGAAUUUGUGAUAUAUGCAGAAGUUUCUUCUCGUGCGAGGCAGAGCAUGAUGACAGAAUGAGGAGAUCCCAAAGAUUAGCGUUUCAUUCCAAACGAUUAGAAGAAUGAGGAAGCAGCAGUAUUUAUAAAGAUAAUGACUAAGAAAGUUCUAUACUUGAUGAAAAAUGUGGGAUUUUUUCAUCAUUCCCUGAUAAGAUUCAGGAAUGCUGUGAGACUCGAGCCAGGGGUAAAAAAUGAAACUGCACUUCUACAUUUAGGAGUAAAACUGCAGAAUACAAAAGAAAUGUUAAAGUGAAAAAGAAAACCACUCAGAUUACUUCAAAAGCAGUUCUCAUGAAAGCAGCCUUAUCAAUUACAAUGAUAAAAGGCAAGCAAUAGUCAAAUAUCUAUUUUUACAAAGUCACAAGAUAAAAUUAGUAACAUAGGAUUCUAUACAUAGCAUUAUUUGGUAUCUACUGGGGCAUAACAAAAUCCCCCAAAACUUGGCAGCUUAAAAAACAUUCAGUAUUUCACCAUUUCCAUGAGUCAGAAAUCCAGGUGUGGCUUAAUUGCGUACUUGCAUAUUGGCUUCUCACCAGACUGCAAUCAGGAGAUUGGCACAGCAUCUGUGGUCUCAUCCGAAGGCUUGCCUGGGAAGUCUGCAUCUGAGCUUACCCUUCAUGGGCUGUUGGGCAGAGGCACCCUCAGCUCCUGGUCAUGUAGGCUCUCCCACGGGGCAGCUCCUAUCAACAAAGCAUGCCAGACGAGGGCAACACACAGUCUUCUAGGAAGAAGAAAGCCACGGUCUUUAAAAAAAAAAAAAAAAAGGAGUAUUUGUGUAAUUACCACUUGGUUUGAGAAAUGGAGCGCUGUGUCCAUAAGUCCUCCAAAGCCCCCACCAGUAACUGCCCUCCUCCUUCUCCCCAGUACAAUUACUCCCCUCACUUCUGUCUUUUUGUCAACUUUUUUAAGUUGUGGCAAGAUGCAUAUAACUUAAAAUUACCAACUUAAUCAUUUUGAAUGUGCAGUUUGGUGGUGUUAAAUACACUCACGAUGUGCAACCGUCACCACCAUCCAUGUAGAACUCUUUCUGUCUUACAAAACUGAAACUCUGUCUCCGUUAAACAAUAAUUCCUCGUUUCCCUUCCCCUGGCCCUGGUACCCACCAUUAUACUUUCUGUUUCUGUAGUUUUGACCUCUAACUACCUCAUACAAGUGGAAUUAUGUGGUAGUUGUAUUUUCGGCAACUGGCUUAUUUCAUCUGUCACAGCGUCCUUAGGGUUCAUCCGUGUUGCAGCCUGUGUCCGAAUCUCCUCCCCUUUAAGGCUAAAUAGUAUCCCAUUGUUUAUACCACAUUCUGCUUAUUCAUUUCUCCACCGAUAAGCACGUGCGUUGUGAUAAGGUUUGGCUGUGUCCCCACCCAAAUCUCAUUUUGAAUUGUGGCUCCCACAAUUCCCACAUGUUGUGGAAGGAACCCAGUGAGAAGUAAUUUUUUUUUUUUUUUUUUUUGGAGACAGAGUUUCGCUCUCAUUACCCAGGCUGGAGUGCAAUGGCGCGAUCUCUGCUCACCGCAACCUCCGCCUCCUGGGUUCAGGCAAUUCUCCUGCCUCAGCCUCCCGAGCAGCUGGGAUUACAGGCACGCGCUACCACGCCCAGCUAAUUUUUUGUAUUUUUAGUAGAGACGGGGUUUCACCAUGUUGACCAGGAUGGUCUCGAUCUCUUGACCUCGUGAUCCACCUGCCUCGGCCUCCCAAAGUGCUGGGAUUACAGGCUUGAGCCACCACGCCUGGCCAAGAAGUAAUUGAAUCAUGGGGCAUGUCUUUCCCAUGCUAUUCUCAUGAUGGUGAAUAAAUCUCAUAAGAUCUGAUGUUUUUAUAAAGGGGAGUUUCCCUGAACAAGCACUCUUCUCUUGUCUGCUGCCAUGUGAGAUGUGCCUUUCCACCAUGAUGAUGAGGUCUCCCCAGCCAUGUGGAACUAGUUUUAGGAGCUUUCUACAUAUUAAGGACACUAAUUCCUGAUCACAUAGACCACUUGCAGCUGUUUUCUCCCGACUGAAAUGGAGUCUCACUAUGUCACCCAAGCUAUUCUUGAACUCCUGGUUUCAAGUGAUCCACUCGCCUCAGCCACCCAAAAUACUGGGAUUACGGGGCCCGUCCGUUGUUUAAGAGUCGUUUAACUUCCAGAAAUGUGUGGAUCUUACAGUUUCACCUCUGUUAUGAGUUUCUCACUUCAUCGUCCUGUGGUUGGAGAAGUUUGUACGAUACCUGCACUUGAAAAUCAACUGAGACUUAAUCUGUGGCCUAACGCUUCCAGGUUUUGCUCAGACGGCGUUCCACUCUUCUCAUCAGACUGUUGUCCCUUUAGCAGCACACUGACAUUCAUCUUUGUAAGAGUCCCAUGGAACACACCUGUCACCAGGAGGGAGUGGGGCGUGGGACUCCCGAGCCAGAUGCUGGGUUUGAUUCUAAAACCGCUACUCGCCACUCACCAGCACCACUGACCAGAAGCUCAUCUUCUCUGGGCCUGCUUUUCCUCCCUUGGAAACAGAUUAUGAUGGCAAGCACCUUCCUCAUGAGUAGCUGGAGAUUAAGAGAAUUGACGUAAAAAGGAGAUUAUGAUCCCCAUGGGUGGUUAGGACAGGGAAUGGGUUGAUGGAAAAUGGAUGACAACCCCUUCUGGGGUUUGCAGGAGAGAAGUGGAAUGAGGAACCGUGGAGAUUAUGAUCACCCUUCAUGGAUUUCAAGGGGCAGAAGAGUAUUGAUUAAAAUCGAGUUGAUGGUA